Molecule: ribosomal RNA, 624 nt
Filed under: uncultured bacterium
Lineage: Bacteria
Description: bacterial SSU rRNA
Rfam family: Bacterial small subunit ribosomal RNA
Source: RNAcentral
UCAGCGCUGGCGGCGUGCCUAACACAUGCAAGUCGAACGAGAAAGUCCCGCAAGGGACAAGUAGAGUGGCGAACGGGUGAGUAACACGUGGAUAACCUGCCGUCGAGUGGGGAAUAACCUUCCGAAAGGAGGGCUAAUACCGCAUAACACCCGAGGACAUCAGUCCCCGGGUUGAAAGGAGUGAUUCGCUCGAUGAGGGGUCCGCGCCUGAUUAGCUUGUUGGUGGGGUAAUGGCUCACCAAGGCGACAAUCAGUAGCCGUCCUGAGAGGGAGCACGGCCACACUGGAACUGAGACACGGUCCAGACUCCUACGGGAGGCAGCAGUGAGGAAUUUUUGGCAAUGGGCGAAAGCCUGACCAAGCAACGCCGCGUGGGUGAUGAAGUAUUUUGGUACGUAAAACCCUUUCGGCAGGGACGAAUUCUUGACGGUACCUGCGGAAGAAGCCCCGGCUAACUCCGUGCCAGCAGCCGCGGUAAUACGGGGGGGGCAAGCGUUGUUCGGAAUUACUGGGCGUAAAGGGCGCGUAGGCGGUUGGAUAAGUCAGCUGUGAAAACCUCAGGCUCAACUUGAGGCCUGCAGUUGAAACUGUCCAGCUAGAGUGUGGGAAAAGGAAAGUGGAAUU